Molecule: long non-coding RNA, 1108 nt
Filed under: Piliocolobus tephrosceles (Ugandan red Colobus)
Lineage: Eukaryota; Metazoa; Chordata; Mammalia; Primates; Cercopithecidae
Description: lncRNA (ENSPTEG00000014940.1)
Source: RNAcentral
ACGAAGUAGAUAAUGCUAAAUUAAAAUGCUCAAAAGAGCAAACAAGUUUAAAAAAAUGUAACAAAGAAUGUGCAUAUACUAAUGAAAAAGAAUACUUUGUAUAUGAAUGUACAAACAAGAAUGUUAAUAAUAAUAAUGAAGUAAAUGGAGAUAAAAAAAAUGAUGAUUACAACUCUUGUUCAUUAGAUAUAGGUGGUACACUUAUAAAAGUUGCUUACUUUCAUGACACCUACAUUCCGAUUAAAAAUAAUGACAGUUGUAGUAAAAAUUUGAAAAUAAAAAUAAAAAACAAGUUUUUAUUCGUAGAUUUUUUUUUUAUAACUGAAUUAGAAGAUUCGUUAACCUUUCUUAUAAAAAAUAAAUUAUUAAAAAAAAAAAUAAAUAUUACAGGUGGAGGGGCACAUAAAUAUUAUUACUAUAUUUUAAAAAAAAUAAUAGAUGAAGAAAUUAAAAAACAAUUGAAUGUUACAAAUCAAGAAUAUAGAUUAUGCGUUAAUAAAUGUACAUAUUAUAACGAGUCUUUAACAUUGGUAAUAUAUAUACAUUUAUCUUUAUGUACGAAUGAUUACCAUAACCAUAAGGAUGAUACUGCUGUGUAUUUUGAUCAAGACUUUCUGAAUAGUUACAGUGACUCCGAAACUGUUAAAAUAUACUUGGUUAAAAAUGUAUAUAAUACGGAUAAUGACUAUGAUCAAAAACAAGAGAAAGAGCAAAAAUGUUUGGUUUAUGACGAAAUAUUUUUAUUAAAAUGUAGUAGAAAAGACGAAAUGUUUUGCGUUAUUAAUGGUAUUCAACAUUUAUUUAAUAUAAAUAAAAGUAUAGUAAGAUAUGAUAUUUUUAUGAACGUACAGAUACCUUUACAAUUGAAGGCAAAACCCAAACCAUUUGUAAUUGCCAAUAUAGGGUCUGGUAUAUCUAUGUUAUUUUCUGAUAGUAAUGGGAAUUUUAGUAGGAUAUCUGGUACAGCUAUUGGUGGGGGGACUGCUAUGGGGUUAGCUCAAUUAAUAUUAGGAAAAAUUUCCUUCGAAAAUUUAAUAAAGCUAGCCGUCAAAGGUUCAUCAAAAUUAGACUUAAAAGUAAAAAACAUAAGAAAGGAUGCCGCUGGUAG